CUGCGACACGCGCCGGGGUCGGUGCGCUUCUGUAUCUCUGCAUCUACAUGCGCGUGCUAACCGGGGCAUGGGAGUUCACUCUGGUUACAGAGAAGGGUGGGGAGCAGAGCUAUUUGUCCUUCAAACCUUUAGAGAGGAGGGAGCGGACUGAUUCCAGACAUAACAUCACUGAGUGCCUCGACUGGAAACUCCUGCAAGAGAUGCGCUGUUCAGCUGCAUUCAGGCAGAUCGCUACCCAAGGCUCCUCGGCAGUAUUAACAUUUAGUCAAAGGCAUUAAUAAAAAUAAUACAAGUCAACAGCUUUUUCCAUUAAUCAUCCCUAUUUAAAAAAAUUGCUGAAAAGUAGACCUGGGACUCAUCAGACAGUAUUUGAUAUAGAUCAUGUAGUUCCUGUGUGUACCUCCUGUUUCAAAAGAACUGCAGUUUGGUUAGAAACACACACUGGUAUUUCUUGGGUCACUUAGCUGUUAACUAUUCCUUAUGUCUGCACAGCUGAUAAAAAAAUCAGUAACUUUAAUCUUUUUACAAGACUACUUUCUCACACAAUGCUGAGCCCUGGCAACAGCCCCACAUCCCACCAGUAUGCAAAAGCAGAAAAAAUGUGAUACAGUAAUUUCCCCACAAGCUGAAGAAGUGUAAGAAACUGCUGCUGGGCAGCACCCUGUAUGAUGGGGCUUUCUUCUCAUGCUAUAGGAACUUCUUUCAAAGUUAUGGAAACGUAACUAUACAGUGUGGAGACGAAGGAGGGAGCCUUAUAGGAAAUAUGUUGUUAUGGCUCUGGCCCCAUUAGCAGAGAAAGAAAGUGUGCUAAUAAUGAGAGUGUAAUUAUGCCACAGUUGGAAAGAUGACUUCUCACUCAGCUCACUCUUUUCCUACUACUGACUCAUCACUGCUGUACAAAGACACCCUUCAUUCAACUGUCAAAAUGGAAGGGAAUGAUCAAUGAAUCAGGCUGGGAGGGGAAGAGGAUUGUUAUCCGUACUCCUCCAGAAACAGAGCCCUCCCUGCAGUGUUUUCCCCAGAUUAGCUGGGAACCUACCCACCAGAUGGGUGCUCUUGCAGUUUGUGUACAAAUUUGCAAAUCCUUCUCAAAAAUUCUGACCUGUGCUGCACAAAAACAGUUCUCUUCCCAGUGCAGUUUCUCUCUUCUACAGCAGCUAUUAAGGCUUAAGAUCCUGCAGAUUUGUGCUGAAUACUGGAAUAACUCUUUAGAGGGCUAUGCCUGUUUGUAGCAACCUUCAAAAGAAAUACUAAGGAAUGGGGAAAAAAAAAAGUGAUAUUUUAGCAUCAUGGGAUGCCUAGUAGCUGUUAGAGAACCAAAGGACAGCUGAGAUAGCACUUCUUACCUUUUACUAUUAAAAAUGGAUUCUAAGGCUUCUAUAGAUACACAGUACUGGCAAGCUGUGAUUGUUUUUUUCAGUCUCCUAUGUCAGGUAAUCCUGAUAACAGACAUGAGAACAAUAUUUAGAUAGAAGAUAACGUGAGGAGAUAGGAAUCCAAUUUGUGAAAUUACAAGUAGAGAAAACAUCAGAUAAAGAAGUAAUUUAAUGAAGUCAUUCAGCCAUAGAAGUAGAAUAUGACUGGAAAGGACUUUGAGAUGGUCAUUAAGUCCAUUUUACUGAAACAAAUAAAGGAAUACUUUCAGAGGCAUAUGUCUUGCAAGAAAUACUGAAAAUCCUUUGCCUAGUUAACUUUACUGUGACCUCCCAUUCAUGUCCUUCCCAUGACCAGGAGACAGCUGAAGGGAAACUGGAGUUUUUUCCAUUUUUUUCUGUUUCAAGGUGUGAUCUGGAGGCUCUAAAGACGUGUAGACUGAUUCCAGUGCACAAUCAUAAGCAGAGAGCUCAGGAGGGUUUUGAGAAAACAUCCUUCGUGGUUUUGCGUAGUUAGAAAUGGGUUUUCUGGCAGGUCACUUCACGCGUAAAAGGUCUUACUGGCAGAUUAGAAGAGUCUUAAAUAUUUGUGGUGUAUAAGAUGGAAGACUCAGAAUGUAAAUGUCAUAAGAUAUCACACCCUUGCCUUACAGUCCCAAGAGCUAGGGAAAAAGCCACAGCCAAAAGAUACUUUGUUCCUGAGUUGAGCUAACCAACUCUGGGUAUGACUAGCUUUGUAGGAUUUUUCCUUACAGAUAAAGAAGUCAUUGUUUUGCUGUUCUUCUGGGGCUUUGAAUUAGCUUUCCAUGGGCUUUACGUAUAGUCAGACUUUGCUCAUUUAUCUGAACUUUAUUUCUUACUCUCUACUUGUGUACCAACACACAGUUGAAGUUCAAGAGGCGGUGAUUUGGAAAUACUUAUUCCUGCUCAAUUUCAUGUAGUUACUGUAUUCUUAAGUGAGUAUAGUUCUUUUAGUCUCCCAAUUACCAUCUUAAUCUGAUAGCUAAAGCCUUGUUUUAUACUAACUGAAGGACGGAGUCAUUUGUGUUAGUUCGAGAUGCGUCAGUUGUCUAUAACGUUGCACUCACCAGGUUGAGAACUUCCUGAGAUCUUACCUGUGAGUCACUGGAAACUAUAACCUGAAGAUAGUUUAGCAUUUAAAUAUAACUGUGAAACUUCAGGUUUCACAACUUCUUUUCAGAGUUCAGUUAGGGAUAGGAUUAAUUAAAAUUCAAGUAGCCUUCAGGCUAAGGUUUAAAAGACAACACACAUUGACUGGCAUGUAUUUCACAAAGAAGUCAGCAUCUGACCUCUGCCAGCAUCAUCGUAGGCUUAUAUAUUCUAGAAAUGGGCACCAAAGCAAAGCAAAGAUUUUCAUGCCAGUUCAAAGGCCGGUAGCUGCACUCAAUGUGAUUCUUUGCUCUCACUGGUAUUAAAGGUAGCUAGUUCCUAGGCUUUUUGGACAACCCUGAACAUGGAAAGUGCUCUCAGAAGUACUUGUGAAAGUAACUCUGGAAUGAUGUCUGGCUGAAAGAUCACUGGUCAUUUGCUUGACCUCUUGCUUAUGCUGGAUAAUGCACAUCUAAAUGGCUAAAUAAAUACAGAACAUCAAAAGAAAGUAUAUAUGUCUACAGCCUGCUAAUAUCUGUGUUCUCUCUAUAUCAGACUUCUAGAAGUGCUUGAAAAACCCCCACAAGGUGAAACUUACCCAAAAGCUUGGGUUAAUAGCUACAUCUCAAAGGGCACAUCUAGCAGUAAACCUGUUCAUGUCCCAGUUGAGUAGAACCCACGCAAGCCACACCUUAAAAUACCAGCAGCAGAUCAAACAUUUACACAGUAUCAGUUGGAAUGUUAGUGUACUCAGGGUAUGAAGGCACAAAAUAGCCUCUUGCUUUGUUCCUGCACUGUAGCCUUAAUUCUAAUAAAGACAGGCAUUCCUAGCACCCACAUCUGUGGCUACAUCAUCUGGGGGCGAGGCAGUCAUAAGACUAUGUUGAUUGUAAAGAAUUCCCUACUUUGGUAGCUCAGAGCAGCCUUGCGAUGAGCUGCAGGAGGGACUUCAGACCAGCAUGUGAAGGAUAAAGCCCUUUCCAUGUCCCAUGGAAGUUUGGGUCCAGCUGGAGGCUUGCAGAUCAAGAAAAUGUGCUUCCUUCUUAUCUGUAGUAACAGCUACAGAGUGAACGUUCCCAGUAUUUGGACCUGAGAAGAGAAAAAUACAGCAGCUCCUGCUACAGCUUGGCAAGAACCUCCAGGAGUUUCUGAUAUGGAUUUUUCUCACUUUCUCUGCUGAAGUGCAAGCUCCCUGUCCUAGGAUGCACUCAGCCAUCAAUAUGUAACAUCACCGGUACCAUAGCAUCCAGAUGUUAUCUGAAAGCUUCUUUAUUUGCCUCAUCCAGACUAACAGUCAAAAAGCACGUAUUCAUGCUCAGUUUGAUUCAGAAUGCAAGUAAUGUGGGCAGUACUUUUCAGACAGCAGUCCUUCUCAAACAGCAACAAAAUCCAAUAAAAAACAUAUGCUGUCUCUGCUUCACACAGUGAAAGCCUUGUGCGUAUGUCCAAACUGCCAGUUUUUAUUAACUACCAACAGUUUGUGCACUCACAGAUUUCAUCAGGUAAGUAUCUCACAUGCAGAAACCUGUAGAACAUGAAAAACUGACUUUUUUUUCCAGUACAUAAGAUAACUGUGAUUAAUAUCGUGCAGUGAGUACAACUAGAAGGGGAAGAGAUCUCUUUAACUUGGCUUAGGUAGAUAAAUUCAUUCCUAAAAUAUUUCUAUGAAAUACUGAAUAGUGUUAAUUACAAAUGGCUCUCCAGGUCCAGCAAUGGUCCUACUGCUUACUAGCCUGUCUGUCCAUUUACACUGCAAAGCCACUCACUGAUGCCAAGCUGUGUGGUUCUGUCCAUCUCCACACAACCAAGCAUGCAGGCUUAAGAGGACAAGCUGCUCCUAAGCAGAGCCAUUGCAAAUUCACCUUAACAUUUGAAAAUAGUAAAAAAA
Numida meleagris (helmeted guineafowl) is the source of this 4371-nucleotide long non-coding RNA. RefSeq lists it as uncharacterized. NCBI's taxonomy places the organism in Eukaryota, Metazoa, Chordata, Aves, Galliformes, Numididae. The transcript has 4 exons. The record is from RefSeq and is a predicted model, not a curated record.